Molecule: non-coding RNA, 200 nt
Filed under: Sebaldella termitidis
Lineage: Bacteria; Fusobacteriati; Fusobacteriota; Fusobacteriia; Fusobacteriales; Leptotrichiaceae
Also listed under: 2 other names
Description: 6S RNA
Rfam family: 6S / SsrS RNA
About the family: E. coli 6S RNA was the first non coding RNA to be sequenced, but its function was unknown until recently.
Source: RNAcentral
AAUUUUCUGGCCUGUGCGUGAUCAAUUAUAUAAUUUUUGUUCUAACAUUGUCAUAACGGGGCUAUCCCUAUACUUGUCAUCACAGACAAAUCACGAUCAUACUCUUGAGAUGAUACGGAUCCUGUAUCGCAGGUAUAAAUAGCUACCACCUGAUCUUCAGGCGACCAAAAAUUCAUUUGAAACGGCAGGCUGGAUAUUAA